CAUUAAUGAAUAUUUUAAUUUCUAAAAUGAUUUUUAAAUAAUCCCGUCUAUUGUUUCCUUUCUCAAUAGAAUUAUAUUAAUAUUUGUCUGGAUGUCUAAAAAUAUUCUGAUUUUAUUAAACGUUAAAGAAGAUGUUUAUCAAAAAACUCAAUUCGUUUACGGAAUAUUUUCUUCAAAAAAAUUAACUGUACAGAUGAUUAAAUUCAAAAGAAAGAGUAAAUAUUUCUAUAUAAAGAUAGAGGUAGUUAAGGAGUUUGCUGCAUGAAGAUGGACGAAUCGAGCAGAUAAUAGGGCAGGUUUAGUCGACAAACAGUCCAAGCAAAGGGAUUUUUCCCCUUCAAACUUUCAUUUCCACGGCAAUAACUGUGUUCCGGUGCCCAGUCUCAUGCCAAGCUUCAAAGCCUAUUACUGUUUUUCAUUAGCAUUUCAAAUUUAAUUUGCUCACGUCCACGGUAACGGCGCCCCCAGACGACAAGAAAUAAUGGCAAAUUAAAAGGUGUUUACGUCACGUUAGGGGAGUGGGUGCCCCCGUUGCGUGACUUCGCGCCGUAAUGACGUCAGUAAUGGUGAUUUGUUUAAAUGUCACAUUGUUGCCUCGUGUUUGCGUGGUUUAGGUUUUGUUGGACGUUCAAUUAAUAGGCUUAUUUUAACAGAUUAGAUGGGAACAAAAAGCCAGAAUAAUCCCAUUAUUAAAUAUUUUAUAAGAAUUUCGAAAAAUAACUCAAUUUUUAAACGGCUACGUAGAAAUAUCGUAAUUACGGUUCUAAGGUAAAAAUUCUCCUUUAUGCUUAUAGACAAUAAAUUUUAUUGUUCAUUAUAUGCAACAUUACUUAUAUGCGUGUUAUACACGAAUGUGUGCCAUAUUAAAACAAUAAAGAGCAAAAAACUGAUAUAUUGUCAUUUAGGACAAGUUACAAUUCAGUUAGGAGCAAUGUUGUUUAACUGAGCUACUUAAGAUUUGUUGAGUACAGGUGAGCCGCACGCAAAUGAUAUGUGCGAAUCUAUCUAUUUUACAGCGUCACGAACGAACGUGACGCGGCAAAUUAGUUUAAUAAGUGUAUGUAUAUAUGAUGAAUGACACACUAGAAAAUAAACGUGAUGGAAUAUAAUAUACAUCUCUUUGUUAAGAGCGUAUCACGCAUUUUAAUCUAUCGUUCUCUUUUUUUAUUUUUUCCCCCUUCUUUCCGAAAUUUUUCAUUGUUUACUCGCAAAGCGAUUUCUUUCGGGUUGAAAUGGCUAAAAAAAAAGAAAGCAUUUUAAAACGCUACAAGUCUACUUAUAAAACCGCUAGUUUUAGAAAAGCCGAUUGCUGCAACAUCCAAUCAGUCGAGAAAAAAAUAUAUAUAUAUAAAAAAAAUACGCAACAUGAACUCAAAUAGAAUUCAACAGUGGGAAAGGAAGUUUAGAUAAAAACGAAACAGCAGAAACAAUUUGGAUGAUUCCUGGCAACCGUCAGUAGCCAGAUGACAAGACUGAAUGACACACGAACCCUUGUCCGGUUGUCAUAGCAACAGGACGUACUACGGUGGCGAGAUAAGCGACGUCGAUGUGCGGGUUUUGUCUGCGACACGAACAAAAGAACAGUUUAGAACGGACGCAUCCUGCGAUUCCAUUCUCGUCCUCGGGGCGAUUUUCUCAACUCGUACGGUUUGUGUACGGUUGUCGAUGUUGACAUUACAACCACCCACUGAUGACAGCUGUCCGAUUGGAGCAGAAGUUUAAUAACACCCUCUACAGCCAACUGACAAAACUGACGGAUGGCACAAAGAGUCCGAUGACGUCAAACUACUCGCUUCAACACAUAAACGUUUUAUGUAAGGUGUUCAAUAGAUUACUCGCUCUGUGGGAUUUAAACUACCCCGUUAUAACAUAAUUAUACACGCGAGUCGUAAACGCAGGCGUAAAAAUUUAAAUCGUGUCUCCAUUUUUUCUAUUUUUAUUUUUACGUUUACAGAAAUAGAUGGUUUUCGGGCAUCUCCUCCAGAGAGAGAAUAAGCAGCCAAUGGUUGGUUGAUUUUGCCAAUUAUUGGGAAAAGUUGAAAUCAAAAAUCGCAUGUGAGAAGACAGAAGUCGUUAUAAUGGGAAAGGAGACCCAAUAGUUGACAUGUGACUGGCACCUGUAAUGGACCGAUGGAUCAUCCUCGGGCAAUAACUUAUGUAAGCUAUUCAUCCUCGUUCGGCUAAGAUUAUUAUUUUUUAGCAAAAAAAUUUUAUUUUAUUCUUCACUAAUAUGAUUCGAAUCUGUCAUACUUACUAAUACUAAUUAUAAAGACUUAUAGGCCAAAAAAUGGGUGUAAAUCAACGUCCGUAUCUGAUGAAUUUUAAGCGUAAAUAUAGUAUUUAACUAAGGGAUUUUCAACGAAAUUCCGCAUUGUAGGCCUAUUUUGUCGAACCGAACGGAAUUACCACUGAAAUACUGUUAAGCUUAGUGUCAGAAUACUCUUUAUCGAGGAUUUUUCUUUAUUUCUUGAGCAAACAGACCUCAAUCAGCUUAAACUCAAACAACUUCGCUGUUAUCCUAAUGCUUUGAACAUUAUUUCGGGUGUUCGAGACAAACAACUACUCAAAUUCCAUUUGCUGUUUUCUUUAGCUUAUAAAUUUAUGUGAUUUACUUGCCUUUUACCUUUAAAAAGUAAACUGUAUGAUUCAGAAAGAUGUCUUAAAUUUAUUAUUUUCAACCGUAUAAAUCUGCA
This 2693-nucleotide long non-coding RNA is filed under the name Androctonus crassicauda. Lineage: Eukaryota; Metazoa; Arthropoda; Arachnida; Scorpiones; Buthidae. The record is from RNAcentral.